Molecule: ribosomal RNA, 253 nt
Filed under: uncultured bacterium
Lineage: Bacteria
Description: partial 16S ribosomal RNA
Rfam family: Bacterial small subunit ribosomal RNA
Source: RNAcentral
UACGGGGGGGGCAAGCGUUGUUCGGAAUUACUGGGCGUAAAGGGCUCGUAGGCGGCCAACUAAGUCGGACGUGAAAUCCCUCGGCUUAACCGGGGAACUGCAUCUGAUACUGGAUGGCUUGAGUUCGGGAGAGGGAUGCGGAAUUCCAGGUGUAGCGGUGAAAUGCGUAGAUAUCUGGAGGAACACCGGUGGCGAAGGCGGCAUCCUGGACCGACACUGACGCUGAGGCGCGAAAGCGUGGGGAGCAAACAGG